RNAcentral lists this ribosomal RNA (1953 nucleotides) under human gut metagenome. RNAcentral's name for it is "bacterial LSU rRNA". It matches the Rfam family "Bacterial large subunit ribosomal RNA", at positions 3 to 1989 of the family's 2925-position model. The record is from RNAcentral.
UUAAGCUAUAAAGAGCGCAGGGUGGAUGCCUUGGCACUAAGAGCCGAUGAAAGACGUGAUAAGCUGCGAAAAGCUUCGGGGAGGAGCAAAUAUCCUUUGAUCCGGAGAUAUCUGAAUGGGGAAACCCGGCUGAGCAAACCUCAGUCACUGCAUGGUGAAUCCAUAGCCAUGCAGAGGGAACCCGGUGAACUGAAACAUCUAAGUAGCCGGAGGAAGAGAAAGAAACAUCGAUUCCCAAAGUAGCGGCGAGCGAAAUGGGAAGAGCCCAAACCAGCGUGCGUGCAUGCUGGGGUUAAGGACUGCAAACGUGAACCGAUUUGUUAGUGGAACUGUCUGGGAAGUCAGGCCAUAGAGGGUGAAAGCCCCGUACACGAAAACAAUAGGAAGCAGCAGGAUCCAGAGUACCACGAGACACGAGAAACCUUGUGGGAAGUCGGAGGGACCACCCUCCAAGGCUAAAUACUCCUUAGUGACCGAUAGCGCAUAGUACUGUGAAGGAAAGGUGAAAAGGACCCCGGGAGGGGAGUGAAAAAGAACCUGAAACCCUGUGUUUACAAGCUGUGGAAGCACGUUAAGGUGCGACCGCGUACUUUUUGUAGAACGGUCCGGCGAGUUGCCGGUACUGGCAAGGUUAAGAGCUGAAGGCUCGGAGCCGAAGGGAAACCAAGUCUCAAAUGGGCGUCAAGUCAGUACAGGCAGACCCGAAACCGGGUGACCUAUCCAUGUCCAGGUUGAAGCGGAAGUAAAAUUCCGUGGAGGACCGGAUCCACAUCCGUUGAAAAGGGUGGGAAUGAGGUGUGGAUAGGGGAGAAAUUCCAAUCGAACCCGGAGAUAGCUGGUUCUCCUCGAAAUAGCUUUAGGGCUAGCCUCGUAUUAGUUUAGCGGAGGUAGAGCACUGAAUUCUUAAGGGGGCGUCAAAGCUUACCAAGAGAUAUCAAACUCCGAAUGCCGCAUAAAUGAUGUACGGGAGUCAGACUGCACGAGAUAAGUUGGGUAGUCAAAAGGGAAAGAGCCCAGACCUACAGCUAAGGUCCCAAAGUGUGUGUUAAGUGGAAAAGGAUGUGGGAUUUCAAAGACAACUAGGAUGUUGGCUCAGAAGCAGCCACACAUUCAAAGAGUGCGUAAUAGCUCACUAGUCGAGAGGUCCUGCGCCGAAAAUGUCCGGGGCUGAAACACAACACCGAAGCUUAGGAAUGUAUGUAAGUACAUUGGUAGAGGAGCAUUCUCAGGACGGAGAAGCGGUACCGAUAAGGAGCCGUGGAGUGCUGAGAAGAGAGAAUGCCGGAAUGAGUAGCGAGAUGGAGGUGGGAAUCCUCCAGGCCGAAUAUCCAAGGUUUCCAGAGUAAAGCUGAUCUGCUCUGGGUAAGUCGGGGCCUAAGGCGAGGCUGAGAGGCGUAGUCGAUGGACAACAGGUUGAAAUUCCUGUACCAUGUAUCAUCAGAACUGUGGGGACACAGAAGGACAACACAUCCCGGGAAUGGGAAUACCGGGGCAAGCGAGGUAGGAGUACGGUUGGCAAAUCCGCCGUGCAAUCCGAAGACGUGACGCGCAGCGAACUAAAGUAGCGAAGUGUGUGAUUCCGGCUGUCAAGAAAAGCCGCUAUUGUGUGAUACAUGCCCGUACCGUAAACCGACACAGGUAGAUGAGGAGAGAAUCCUAAGGCCGGCGGGAGAAGCAUUGUUAAGGAACUCGGCAAAAUGACCCCGUAACUUCGGGAGAAGGGGUGCCACAGAGAUGUGGCCGCAGAGAAUAGGCUCAAGCAACUGUUUAGCAAAAACACAGGUCUAUGCAAAACCGUAAGGUGAGGUAUAUGGGCUGACGCCUGCCCGGUGCUGGAAGGUUAAGAGGAGAGGUUAGAGCAAUCGAAGCUUUGAAUUUAAGCCCCAGUAAACGGCGGCCGUAACUAUAACGGUCCUAAGGUAGCGAAAUUCCUUGUCGGGUAAGUUCCGACCC